AACACGAUUCCCUAGUAACUGCGAGUGAAGCGGGAAAAGCUCAAAUUUAAAAUCUGGUGGCCUUUGGUCAUCCGAGUUGUAAUUUAGAGAAGCGUCUUCCGCGCUGAACCGUGCACAAGUCUCCUGGAAUGGAGCGUCAUAGAGGGUGAGAAUCCCGUCUUUGGCACGGAACAUCAGGGCUUCUGUGAUGCGCUCUCGACGAGUCGAGUUGUUUGGGAAUGCAGCUCAAAAUGGGUGGUGAACUCCAUCUAAAGCUAAAUAUUGGCGAGAGACCGAUAGCGAACAAGUACCGUGAGGGAAAGAUGAAAAGCACUUUGGAAAGAGAGUGAAACAGUACGUGAAAUUGUUGAAAGGGAAACGCUUGAAGUCAGUCGCGUCGACCGAGACUCAGCCUUGCCUUGGCUUGGUGUACUUCUCGGCUUGACGGGUCAGCAUCAAUUUUGAUCCUCGGAUAAUGGCGAGGGAAAGGUAGCACCUUUUUAGGUGUGUUAUAGUCCUUUGUCGCAUACGGGGGCUGGGAUUGAGGAACUCAGCACGCACCUUUAGGUGUCGGGACCGCAAGGCCCACUAUACGUGCUUAAGAUGCUGGCGUAGUGUCUUUAAACGACCCGUCGUGAAACACAGACCAGGGACUCUAACAUACCCGCGAGUGUUCGGGUGGAAAACCCGUGCGCGUAGUGAAAGUGAAAGUUGACACCUCUGUCGUGGAGGACACCGACGCCCAGACCAGACCUUCUGUGACGGCUCUGCUAUAGAGCGUGUAUGUUGACACCCGAAAUAUGGUGAUCUAUGCCUGAAUAGGGUGAAGCCAGAAGAAACUCUGGUGGACGCUCAUAGCGAUUCAGACGUGCAUAUCGAUCGUCAAAUUUGGAUAUAGGCGCGAAAGACUAAUCAAACCAUCUAAUAUCUGGUUCCUGCAGAUUUCCCCCUCAAG
This 934-nucleotide ribosomal RNA is filed under the name Russula sp. RNAcentral describes it as "partial 28S large subunit ribosomal RNA". It matches the Rfam family "Eukaryotic large subunit ribosomal RNA", at positions 68 to 977 of the family's 3401-position model. The record is from RNAcentral. Lineage: Eukaryota; Fungi; Basidiomycota; Agaricomycetes; Russulales; Russulaceae.